UUUUUACUUGGCGUAAAAUUUCUUCAAAUUGCAAAUGCAUUUUUCAGAUUUUCUGCCCCGAAUCAGCUGAAAUCAUGUAACUAAUGAUCGAGAAUGGUGGACUACUUUAAAUUAAAUCUCAAUAGUACUGAUAAAAUUUUAUAUGGCAGAAAAACAACAUACAUCAGAGAGUAUUCCAGCAAUUUUACCACAUUCCGUAAACAACAUAAAUUGUAUGAUGAGUAAACUUAAUUAAGCAACAGCUUGCACCUAGAAAAAUUAUUUUACAAUCUAACUCCUCCUUAGGCGAUAGUUUAGUCUCUAAACAGUGGUGGUGGUGGAGGAGAGAAAAACCUCCCUGUAUUAGCUGAAGGUGUUGGAGGGGCCAAGCCUUUCCUUGAUCCCUUUACUCCUUGUCCUGCAGUCUUGUAGUUCCUGGUAUCUGCAAAGACUAUAUAUGUAUAUAGCACAAAAUAAAUGUCACCUAUAAGAUCUUUUGUGAAUUAUGUUUUUGUGAAAAGAAUAUUGGCACACUUUAAUUAUAAGUACCUGAACUGGUGGUUUCGCCGUGGAAACCAACAAGGAGGAGAAAGGUGAUGAAGAAUACUAGUAUUGACCUUGAUGAUUCCAUUGUUUCAGAAUUAUUACUUGAGAUAAAUAAAGGGUUCGGUACUGUUGCCUGUUGGGUCGACUUAUAUAGAUAAAUAAACAUGGU
RNAcentral lists this long non-coding RNA (694 nucleotides) under Aquilegia coerulea. RNAcentral's name for it is "long non-coding RNA (ACOE_LNC001987)". Lineage: Eukaryota; Viridiplantae; Streptophyta; Magnoliopsida; Ranunculales; Ranunculaceae. The record is from RNAcentral.